Molecule: ribosomal RNA, 492 nt
Filed under: uncultured bacterium
Lineage: Bacteria
Description: partial 16S ribosomal RNA
Rfam family: Bacterial small subunit ribosomal RNA
Source: RNAcentral
AGUGAACGCUGGCGGUAGGCCUAACACAUGCGAGUCGAACGGCAGCACAGUAAGAGCUUGCUCUUACGGGUGGCGAGUGGCGGACGGGUGAGGAAUACAUCGGAAUCUACUUUUUCGUGGGGGAUAACGUAGGGAAACUUACGCUAAUACCGCAUACGACCUACGGGUGAAAGCAGGGGAUCUUCGGACCUUGCGCGAUUGAAUGAGCCGAUGUCGGAUUAGCUAGUUGGCGGGGUAAAGGCCCACCAAGGCGACGAUCCGUAGCUGGUCUGAGAGGAUGAUCAGCCACACUGGAACUGAGUCACGGUCCAGACUCCUACGGGAGGCAGCAGUGGGGAAUAUUGGACAAUGGGCGCAAGCCUGAUCCAGCCAUACCGCGUGGGUGAAGAAGGCCUUCGGGUUGUAAAGCCCUUUUGUUGGGAAAGAAAAGCAGCAGGUUAAUACCCCGCUGUUCUGACGGUACCCAAAGAAUAAGCACCGGCUAACUUCGUG